This 181-nucleotide non-coding RNA is filed under the name Halalkalibacter suaedae. RNAcentral's name for it is "Bacillus suaedae 6S / SsrS RNA". It matches the Rfam family "6S / SsrS RNA". Rfam says of the family: E. coli 6S RNA was the first non coding RNA to be sequenced, but its function was unknown until recently. It consists of 184 nucleotides that fold into an extended hairpin structure with a large single-stranded internal bulge. The 6S RNA specifically associates with RNA polymerase holoenzyme containing the sigma70 specificity factor. Lineage: Bacteria; Bacillati; Bacillota; Bacilli; Caryophanales; Bacillaceae. The record is from Rfam by way of RNAcentral.
CGUUGCCUGCCGUGUUAGUUAGCUUCUCCUUGUUUCGAACCUUGAUUUUAAAAAGGGAGCUUUAUAUUGAACCUCAGACAGCAUGCCAGCUUGCUCUGGACGCUGGACGAGAUUCUGCGAGCACCCACCUACGAGUGUAGGUUCAUGAAACAACUGAAGCAACGGCAUACGCGGGUUACAA